CAUUUGCCAAGUUGGCACAAGCCCUGCAUUGACAUUGGCAAAUUUCAAUCAAGUGUCUCCUUCAACGAUGAAGGCCGCACUUCCCGAGAAAACGGGACUUGGACAAAGGCGUCCUCGCUAGGUGACUAGCGGGACGCC
RNAcentral lists this small RNA (138 nucleotides) under Pseudomonas borbori. RNAcentral's name for it is "Pseudomonas sRNA P11". It matches the Rfam family "Pseudomonas sRNA P11". Rfam says of the family: P11 is located between a putative threonine protein kinase and putative nitrate reductase and appears to be conserved in several Pseudomonas species. P11 has a predicted Rho independent terminator at the 3'end but the function of P11 is unknown. The record is from RNAcentral. Lineage: Bacteria; Pseudomonadati; Pseudomonadota; Gammaproteobacteria; Pseudomonadales; Pseudomonadaceae.